UGCGGCUGGAUCACCUCCUUUCUAAGGAAGAUGUUGAGUAUCAUUGAAUUUAUUGAGUGAUCUGA
Molecule: unclassified non-coding RNA, 65 nt
Filed under: Candidatus Liberibacter asiaticus
Lineage: Bacteria; Pseudomonadati; Pseudomonadota; Alphaproteobacteria; Hyphomicrobiales; Rhizobiaceae
Description: partial 16S-23S ribosomal RNA intergenic spacer
Source: RNAcentral